This 201-nucleotide ribosomal RNA is filed under the name uncultured Enterobacteriaceae bacterium. Its description in RNAcentral is "partial 16S ribosomal RNA". It matches the Rfam family "Bacterial small subunit ribosomal RNA", at positions 355 to 548 of the family's 1533-position model. Lineage: Bacteria; Pseudomonadati; Pseudomonadota; Gammaproteobacteria; Enterobacterales; Enterobacteriaceae. The record is from RNAcentral.
UGGGGAAUAUUGCACAAUGGGCGCAAGCCUGAUGCAGCCAUGCCGCGUGUGUGAAGAAGGCCUUCGGGUUGUAAAGCACUUUCAGCGAGGAGGAAGGGUUCAGUGUUAAUAGCACUGUGCAUUGACGUUACUCGCAGAAGAAGCACCGGCUAACUCCGUGCCAGCAGCCGCGGUAAUACGGAGGGUGCAAGCGUUAAUCGG